GACGAACGCUGGCGGCGUGCCUAAUACAUGCAAGUAGAACGCUGAAGGAGGAGCUUGCUCUUCUGGAUGAGUUGCGAACGGGUGAGUAACGCGUAGGUAACCUGCCUGGUAGCGGGGGAUAACUAUUGGAAACGAUAGCUAAUACCGCAUAAGAGUAGAUGUUGCAUGACAUUUACUUAAAAGGUGCAAUUGCAUCACUACCAGAUGGACCUGCGUUGUAUUAGCUAGUUGGUGGGGUAACGGCUUACCAAGGCGACGAUACAUAGCCGACCUGAGAGGGUGAUCGGCCACACUGGGACUGAGACACGGUCCAGACUCCUACGGGAGGCAGCAGUAGGGAAUCUUCGGCAAUGGACGGAAGUCUGACCGAGCAACGCCACGUGAGUGAAGAAGGUUUUCGGAUCGUAAAGCUCUGUUGUAAGAGAAGAACGAGUGUGAGAGUGGAAAGUUCACACUGUGACGGUAUCUUACCAGAAAGGGACGGCUAACUACGUG
This 495-nucleotide ribosomal RNA is filed under the name uncultured bacterium. RNAcentral describes it as "partial 16S ribosomal RNA". It matches the Rfam family "Bacterial small subunit ribosomal RNA", at positions 28 to 507 of the family's 1533-position model. The record is from RNAcentral.